CCUACGGGAGGCAGCAGUGGGGGAAUCUUGCGCAAUGGGCGAAAGCCUGACGCAGCCAUGCCGCGUGAAUGAUGAAGGUCUUAGGAUUGUAAAAUUCUUUCACCGGGGACGAUAAUGACGGUACCCGGAGAAGAAGCCCCGGCUAACUUCGUGCCAGCAGCCGCGGUAAUACGAAGGGGGGCUAGCGUUGCUCGGAAUUACUGGGCGUAAAGGGGAGCGUAGGCGGAUAGUUUAGUCAGAGGUGAAAGCCCAGGGCUCAACCUUGGAAUUGCCUUUGAUACUGGCUAUCUUGAGUAUGGGAGAGGUUAGCGGAACUCCGAGUGUAGAGGUGAAAUUCGUAGAUAUUCGGAAGAACACCAGUGGCGAAGGCGGCUAACUGGCCCAUUACUGACGCUGAGGCUCGAAAGCGUGGGGAGCAAACAGGAUUAGAUACCCUGGUAGUCCACGCCGUAAACGAUGAGUGCUAGUUGUCGGCAUGCAUGCAUGUCGGU
Molecule: ribosomal RNA, 491 nt
Filed under: uncultured bacterium
Lineage: Bacteria
Description: bacterial SSU rRNA
Rfam family: Bacterial small subunit ribosomal RNA
Source: RNAcentral